GACGGGGGAUGCAAGCGUUAUCCGGAAUCACUGGGCGUAAAGCGUCUGUAGGUGGUGAUGCAAGUCACUGGUGCAAAACUCUGGCUCAACCGGAGGAAAGCCAGUGAAACUGCAUGACUAGAGUGUGGGAGAGGUAGAAGGAAUUCCCUGAGUAGCGGUGAAAUGCGUAGAUACAGGGAAGAACACCGGAGGCGAAAGCGUUCUACUGGAACACAACUGACACUGAGAGACGAAAGCUAGGGGAGCGAAUGGG
RNAcentral lists this ribosomal RNA (253 nucleotides) under uncultured bacterium. Its description in RNAcentral is "partial 16S ribosomal RNA". It matches the Rfam family "Bacterial small subunit ribosomal RNA", at positions 524 to 776 of the family's 1533-position model. The record is from RNAcentral.